AACGAACGCUGGCGGCAUGCCUAACACAUGCAAGUCGAACGAGACCUUCGGGUCUAGGGGCGCACGGGGGCGUAACGCGGGGGAACCUGCACGUAGGUUCGGAAUAACUCCCCGAAAGGGGUGCUAAUACCGGAUAAUGUCUUCGGACCAAAGAUUUAUCGCCUUUGGAUGGGCCCGCGUUGGAUUAGCUAGUUGGUAGGGUAAAAGCCUACCAAGGCGACGAUGCAUAGCUGGUCUGAGAGGAUGAUCAGCCACACUGGGACUGAGACACGGCCCAGACUCCUACGGGAGGGAGCAGUGGGGAAUAUUGGACAAUGGGCGAAAGCCUGAUCCAGCAAUGCCGCGUGAGUGAUGAAGGCCUUAGGGUUGUAAAGCUCUUUUACCCGGGAUGAUAAUGACAGUACCGGGAGAAUAAGCUCCGGCUAACUCCGUG
RNAcentral lists this ribosomal RNA (433 nucleotides) under uncultured bacterium. Its description in RNAcentral is "partial 16S ribosomal RNA". It matches the Rfam family "Bacterial small subunit ribosomal RNA", at positions 29 to 507 of the family's 1533-position model. The record is from RNAcentral.